AGUGAACGCUGGCGGUAGGCCUAACACAUGCAAGUCGAACGGCAGCACAGUAAGAGCUUGCUCUUACGGGUGGCGAGUGGCGGACGGGUGAGGAAUACAUCGGAAUCUACUUUUUCGUGGGGAUAACGUAGGGAAACUUACGCUAAUACCGCAUACGACCUACGGGUGAAAGCCGGGGAUCUUCGGACCUUUCGCGGUUGAAUGAGCCGAUGUCGGAUUAGCUAGUUGGCGGGGUAAAGGCCCACCAAGGCGACGAUCCGUAGCUGGUCUGAGAGGAUGAUCAGCCACACUGGAACUGAGACACGGUCCAGACUCCUACGGGAGGCAGCAGUGGGGAAUAUUGGACAAUGGGCGCAAGCCUGAUCCAGCCAUACCGCGUGGGUGAAGAAGGCCUUCGGGUUGUAAAGCCCUUCUGUUGGGAAAGAAAAGCAGCAGGUUAAUACCCCGCUGUUCUGACGGUACCCAAAGAAUAAGCACCGGCUAACUUCGUG
This 491-nucleotide ribosomal RNA is filed under the name uncultured bacterium. RNAcentral's name for it is "partial 16S ribosomal RNA". It matches the Rfam family "Bacterial small subunit ribosomal RNA", at positions 29 to 507 of the family's 1533-position model. The record is from RNAcentral.